UACGGAGGGUGCGAGCGUUGUCCGGAAUCAUUGGGCGUAAAGGGCGCGUAGGUGGCGCGGUAAGCGUGCGGUGAAAGCCUGGGGCUCAACCCCGGGUCGGCCGUGCGAACUGCUGGGCUUGAGCACUGUAGAGGCAGGCGGAAUUCCGGGUGGAGUGGUGAAAUGCGUAGAGAUCCGGAGGAACACCAAAGGCGAAGGCAGUGUCCUGGGGAGUACCUGACGCUCAGGUGCGAAAGCCAGGGGAGCGAACGGG
RNAcentral lists this ribosomal RNA (253 nucleotides) under uncultured bacterium. RNAcentral's name for it is "partial 16S ribosomal RNA". It matches the Rfam family "Bacterial small subunit ribosomal RNA", at positions 524 to 776 of the family's 1533-position model. The record is from RNAcentral.